AUGCCUAUCCACGAGCUUAUUAAAGAAUUCAGGGCUACAAAAGGCUCUCAUUUCUACAGGAAGAAGAAUAAAGCUGUACAACCACAAGUACAGCCGCAGGUCACUGUCCAAGGUCCUGAAAGGUCCCCCCAUCCCAAGCCAAUCCCGGAGUGGGAGGCAGGCCCGUUGCUAAUGGAAGCUAGAUGUGAGGAUGUCAGGGAGCCUUUCUCCUUCAUCUCUAGUGACCAGCCCUGCAGCAACAGAGACAUCCAGGCUAUGGAUGCAGUGGCAGGAGCUUCUACUGACGGUGGCCAGAACGAGUGUGGCCUGCAGGUCUCUGCCACCACCAUCACACUGUCCCCAGGGCCCAUCCCAGCAGACAUUGCCCAGGGCCUGGCCCUGUACCGGCGCAAGAUUGACCUAGAGUCGUCCCCCCGGGACUCUCCUCCACUCGGGGCUUCCGCCAACAACUCCUGUGCGCGUGUCUGUUCGGCCCUCUUCGAGCGGGUCUCCUUCAGCGAGAUCAGCCAGGAGUUGGAUGCGGUGCUGAUCCGCACUGGCGUGCUCCCAUCAGAGUCCCUGAUCAUCGUGCAGACAGAGCAUGUACCCAAGAUGAUUGUGUUCCAGGCUCAUCCCCUAUUGGUUGAGAACGCAGCAGUGGCUCCGCCUCCGUGUGACGUCCCUGUCAGGUAUAAGUGCAGCUGUGCCUCAAUGGUGGGCGCCCUCGAAGACGUGGUGGCACCAUUGGAGAUGGCCGUUGCAUCUCAGCCUAGCUAUCCCAUCUGUGAGAGAGCAGGUCCCGUGGUGGCGAGACCAGCUGCUAUGGUCGCUGAGCCUGAGGAGUCUCCAGCCCUUGGAGACAAGGUUGUACCCCUUGAGGUCCACUCUGCACCAGUCAAACACCAGGAGAUGACACCCUCAAGGCCCUCCAUCCCAGUUGGAACACUGGAGCUCCCUGUUUCAGCCCCUGCUGUGUCUGACUCCCCUGCUGUGUCUGACUCCCUUGCUGUGUCUGACUCCCCUGCUGUGUCUGACUCCCCUGCUGUGUCUGACUCCCCUGCUGUGUCUGACUCCCCUGCUGUGUCUGACUCCCCUGCUGUGUCUGACUCCCCUGCUGUGUCUGACUCCCCUGCUGUGUCUGACUCCCCUGCUGUGUCUGACUCCCCUGCUGUGUCUGACUCCCCUGCUGUGUCUGACUCCCCUGCUGUGUCUGACUCCCCUGCUAUGUCUGACUCCCCUGCUGUGUCUGACUCCCCUGCUAUGGCUGUCCAAGACGCGCAGAUUAGUUUGACCGAUCGUCCUCUCUCAGUCAUCCUACACUCCCUCUCCGGUGCAACUUCACCAUUCGAGACAGCAGAGGAUGUGAUGCUGAUUCCUAUGGUAGUGUCCCCUCCUGAAUCAGUCAAAAGGGUGGUGAGAGAGUCCUCUGAUCUUCUGUGUCCUCUUCCUGCAGCGACAUUGGAGACUGAGUCUGUUAGUGUGAUUUGUCCCCCUCCUUCUCCAGUGACUGUGGAGAUCCAGUCUUCCAUUCUGGCUUCUCCCCUUACUGCUGCAACCGUGGAGACAGAAUCCUCCAAUCGGAUUUGUCCUUCUGUGGUCAGCGUGGAGACAGCUUAUCGGCCAAUUCAAUCUCCUUCUGCUGCAGAGACAGUGGAGGCCGAAUCUUCUGUUUUGACCUGCCCCCAUACUGCGGUGACCGACGACUUUGUGGCCCCUGUUUCUGUGUACCUUCCUGUUGUGGCACCAGAAGAGACCGGUGUCCCCAGUGUGCAGCUCCCAGCUCCCGCGCCUGCCUUGACAGAGGAAACUCAGUGCCAGUCUGCUUCACCAUGCCUGCCCACCCUCACGGCCGCAGGAGAGUCCAGAACCCCCUUCUUGGUCUACCUCCCACUGCCUGCUCCAGAGCUGGCUAAGACCCCUGGUCUGUUGUGCCAACUCGGCCUGGGACCAGAGGAAGCCAAGAGCUUCCCUUUCCUGUGUCUCCCUAUUUCUGACAUCCCCAGGACCCCAAGUCUUGUGACUGCCAGCCUGGCUCCAGCUCAGACUGCGGCUGUGGCUCCUGCUGCUGCUACGGAUUUACCAAGGACCAACCUCCCUGGAGUGACAGAUAUCCCCAGGACCCUGAGUUAUGUGGCGGCUGGAGCUCAGGAGCUACCACGGCUCCAGAGCUAUGCGGCUAACGCCGCUGAAGUCCAGGAGCCACCGAGGACCCCCAGCUAUCUGGCUAACACCCCUGGAGUUCAGGAAAUACCACACAACCCCAGCUAUCUGAAAAACUCAGCUGUCUUCCAAGAUAUGUGCUUUAUGUGCCCCUCUGUUACCGCCUCCAAUCUGUCCAGGAACAAUAGCUUUGUGCACUCUCCGGCUGCCAUGGCUCCACAGCAGCUGAUUAGGGGCCCGUGUAUGAUGUCUCUGUACCCCCAGGGAGGGCCUGUGAUGGGCCACUGUACCCACUCCCCAGGACAGUGUCCUGCGUCUCUGCAGCAGCAGGCUGGCAUGGCUCCGCUCAACCACGGACAGCAGACCAACACCAACUUCAUGCCCAUUUGUUCUCAAGGGCCAAGCCUGUGUAGCUGCCUCGGCAGAACUGGCAGCCACUGGCGCCUCUGUCACCUGACGCGACCCGAGUCCCAGGGCAGGGUGGGCGGCAUGAUCUGCCCCUACCAGAACUCCCAGACCAUGAUGCACUGCAACAGCCUGGAUCACAUGGCCAACAUCCCCAUGUACCAGGACUGUGGCCACUACUCUAGCAGCUGCCACCUGCUGCCACCGUGCUCCCAGUCGUCCCACGGCAGCCUGCACACCCACCACGUGGCCGAGCCCCGUUGCUCUGCUCACAACCUGGGCACCUCCUUCGUCCAACCCCAGAACUGCUCCUCCGACCCCCUCUUCCACUACCCCCAGCAGUACCACCUGGUGGCCACCCCCUCCCAGGAGAGGCAGCAGGCCCUGUGCCCUCUCCAGUGCCCACUGCUGCAGCAGCGCCACAGCUCCCUGCUCUUCUGUGGGCACCAGGGGGAGCUGAGCAGGCUGGGCUCCUCCAGCUGUGUCCCUGCCACCAACCAGAGACAGAACCAGGGAGGGGUGGAGCAGAAGAACAACAACCCCAGCUGCGUAUCGCUUCAUAACAAAAGAUUAGACACGAGCGCAAACAACAAUCAAGGCUGCGUCAUGAAUUGCAAUCCCCAGGGCAACUAAUCCUGUCUUCACAUGAGAAGGGCCUUAUUUUUGCAGUUGCCAAUGUCUCUUUUGCAUUCUUUUAAACUGAUAAUGAGGAAUAAAUAUACUUACAUUGCAUGAAUUUCGAUAGUGCACAAACCCUCAAUCAAUCACUACAAAAACAUACAACUUAAGGUAAUUGCAGCUAUGUAAAGGCAGUAGAUGGAGGGUAAACUUCCACAUUGAUACAAAAGUUUGACAAAGAUUCGGUAUUGGGCUGUUGUUUAAAGCUAGAAUCCUUAGUCGCUACAUACAUUUUUGAACUAUAACUUAUAAAUCCCUCUUGAGCUUAGUUCAACUGUCGUACCCCAUCAGAAACCAAAAUAUAAGCUUGUUUUACUCCAAUGUUUGUAUUCAAUGUAAACAAACACUUCAUACCCUCCAAACAUGGUUCAAACUAUAAUUUUGAUAUCACUGAUGGUCAGUCCUUAUGUCAAUGGCUCUGUCUAUGAAUUUGAGAGAGGCAUGGAGAAAUGUAACCAAUCGCUCAACUUUUUACCAAAACAGUGGCGAGGUGUCACUUUGUUCUAUUUUUAAACUAAGGAUUCUAGCUUUAGGACCACUGUUUCUAUGGAAUGAAUAGAACCAUUGCAACACUCACAAAAUGAGUCAUAAUGUCACAUCCAUGUUGCAUAGUAACAGAUUCCAUGGGUGGAAGUGUGAGUAAAAAAAGAAAUAGAAAAUCACCAUCAACCUUUAAAAUCUGGCUUAGACAGUCUGGACUGACUUGGACUGAGCCUAAGGCCAUGUCAUCCUUUUAACAUCUGCUCAGUUACUCGUCAGAACUCAAAAUGACCUGUUCGCCAGGUUGUUAUGACAUAGUUGCUUGGGAUAAGGAAUGCAUUAAAUAGAAAAGCUAAAUUAGCUUGCAGGUAAUGUUAGCUAUUAUACAUGUUGUUUGUUUUCCUGCUAUUGAAGCUCAUCACAAUAUUAUUUGACUAUCUAAUGAGAAGAAGUUAGAGCAACUACACCAUCAUAUUUAAAAAGUAUAACAAUAGAGUAGACAGAAAGUGAUACAUUGUUACUUUUGGCUAUGUUGUGGUGGAUGAGCUAAACAAUGGAACAUGGCCUGUGUCUGUCGAUUGCCACCAACAACAACAAGCAAAACUCUAUGCAAGUGCCCACUACCAGUUACCAACACCAACAACAAGCAACACUGUCAUCACCAGUGCCUACUGCCAGUCCAAUGAAAAGGGAUUUCAACUCUACAGUCUGACCUUCAACCCCCACUGAGCCAAAGUACAGUCCACUCAGUCCAACUGGGACAACAGCUGGUUCAGAACCAAAGGAGAGAGUCAAAUCUCCCCAAACAUGACAGCAGAGAAAAUAAAUAAAGAGGUCAAAUCGAACUCAACCUAAAAAAUGGAAUCACCAAGGAAAUGUGUGGGGUAAAGAUCCCGAAUCUCCUAAUUUACCCCCGGCACAAUUAGCUAUUGUUUAUUUCACACUAUGUUGAAGUAAAAAUCAGUGUAUAACACGUCAACCCCAACUCAUCUUCAUGUCAUCUUAACCAAUCAACUGCAUUACUGUUAAAUACUUUUACUAUGAAGCGAAAACCGCCAAAUAUUUCCAAAUCGGACUUAAGUAACAACAUUGUGGGCCUGUUACAAUACAUAAAUCAUAAGUCACUGUCCCUAGCCGACUACCACCCGGUUACUCCACCAUGCACCUUAGAGGCUGCUGCCCUAUGUACAUAGUCAUGGAAAACUGGUCACGUUAAUCAUGUUUACAUACUGUUUAUUUGCAUUCAUUUUUUAUUGAAUAUUUAAAAUAUACAAUAUACUUGCAGUGAAGCAUCACAUUUAGUCAUCUAACAGCCUACCAUCCGGAGUGACACACAGACACAACCAGGGUUUACAUACUGUUUAACCCCCUUCAUAUGUACAGUGUAUACUGUAUUCUAGUCAAAACCUAUCCAAUUGAACUAUUGCUGUACAUACUGCACAUUCGGAAAGUAUUCAGACCUCUUGACUUUUUCCACAUUUUGUUACGUUACAGCCUUAUUCUAAAAUGGAUUAAAUUGUUUUUUCCCCUCAUCAAUCUACAAACAAUACCCCAUAAUGACAGACCAAAAACAGGUUUAGACAAAACUGAAAUAUCUCAUUUAAAUAAGUAUUCAGACCCUUCACAUAAUUUUGCACGCCCAAUUUUUCAGUUUUUGAUUUGUUAAAAAAGUUUGAAAUAUCCAAUAAAUGUCGUUCCACUUCAUGAUUGUGUCCCACUUGUUGUUGAUUCUUCACAAAAAAAUACAGUUUUAUAUAUUUAUGUUUGAAGCCUGAAAUGUGGCAAAAGGUCGCAAAGUUCAAGGGGGCCGAAUACUUUCGCAAGGCACUGUAUUUGUGGAGUUUCUCCCAUUCUUCUCUACAGAUCCUCUCAUGAUCUGUCAGGCUUGAUGGGGAGCGUCGCUGCACAGCUAUUUUCAGGUCUCUCCGAAGAUGUUCGAUUGGGUUCAAGUCCGGGCUCUGUUUGGACCACUCAAGGACAUUAAGAGACUUGUCCUAAAGCCACUCCUGCG
Oncorhynchus kisutch (coho salmon) is the source of this 5713-nucleotide long non-coding RNA. NCBI's taxonomy places the organism in Eukaryota, Metazoa, Chordata, Actinopteri, Salmoniformes, Salmonidae. The record is from Ensembl.